This 429-nucleotide long non-coding RNA is filed under the name Homo sapiens (human). RNAcentral describes it as "non-protein coding lnc-ATP2A2-5:1". Lineage: Eukaryota; Metazoa; Chordata; Mammalia; Primates; Hominidae. The record is from RNAcentral.
GUGAGCCACCGCGCUCAGCCCUCCUGGCACUUGUUGAGGCUCUGAGGACCCAAGGCGCCAGGAAAGCAGAGGAGACUCAGUAUCCAGUGCCUCCCAUAGGAAAUGGCUCCCAUUCCCCAAGUUAGUCCCAGAAGCUGGACCCUCCCUGAUUUGGUCCUCAUUCUCCCAGAGAAGCGUGUUCCGUGAUUGACUGUGUCCCCUCCCUCUGUCCUCUGUGCCUCUGCACUAAGUACCAGGAGGCCCUCGUCCUGUCCACACUCAGCCAUCGCUCGGCCGGAGAUACACAUGCAGCUCCUCUAAUCUUUCCCGGCAGCUCAGCCACCCCGCUCCCCUCACCCCCCAUUCCAUCCCUUGUUCCCCUUCCUCCUUAAUCAAAUUAAGGGAAAGAAGAGGAUUUAGAUAGGGUUGCUAAAUAUAUUUCUGUUCAGG